Molecule: long non-coding RNA, 965 nt
Organism: Chiroxiphia lanceolata (lance-tailed manakin)
Lineage: Eukaryota; Metazoa; Chordata; Aves; Passeriformes; Pipridae
Exons: 3
Source: RefSeq, a predicted model, not a curated record
GAAAGUUCAGAGCGUUGUAAUCUGGGUUUCGGAGGGUUUGUGUUAAUAUUGCCAUUCUUAUGUUGGAGGGAUUGAGACUUUUAACAGCACUGAGCGUGUCCUUGGUAAGGGAAGAGAGCUGGGGGAGAAUGGAAUUUGGGGUGUGUUAUAGGAGGAUUAGUUGUGGUGUGUAAGCUCGGAGGGGAAGGUCAUUGUCUCCAAAAUGAGCAUUUCUUUUGCUUGUCGAAGAGCUUUCUAACAGGGCAAGUUCCCUAUUAUUCCAUGCUCUGGUGUUCUCGGCACAGGGGCUGAGAAGCAAUGGAAACAAAUUUGGCUCCCAAAACAUUUCUUUGCUUUCUGCCUGCAAAAAGGAUGAGGAUGGGGCCUGCUGGGAUUUGAGGUGUUAUCUCAGAACAUUGCACUGUUCAUUGGGUGCUGUCUUGUCAAGAGAUCAACAUUUCAACUGCCCCUUGACACUGGCUUUUUAAAGCAAGUUAGAGCAGGAAGGUAUUUUCCAACAUAUAGUUGGAUACCCUCAGUUCUCUCACAGAGAGAAGAGGAAAUGGAAGGGUUGAAAAUGCACUGAGAGCAGAAAGCCACUAUACAGAAGGACUAAACAGGUGAGAGAUUAUAGUGUUCUGUACAUGUGACCAGUGGUGAAGCAAAAUAAAAUAUGUAGACAAGUGGCAGAUGAGCAACUUGACAGUUUACCCUGCAGUGUCCUGCGAGUGGGGAAAAUAUGCUUGUUUCGAGGCUAAAGAUGGUGGUUGAACCUAUUUCUUCACUGCCAGCUGUAGUAGCUGCUGUAUCUUAUGUUCCAAGGCAUAAAAUGGAGUAUACAAGUGACUCAAAUUCUGGAAAUUCUAAUAAGUUUGUAUAAUGUAUGAUGAAGUUGCAUUUCUACAAAGUGACUAGCUUUGAUAUCAUGAAAGUUGCUUUUAGCAGAAAGUGCAAGCAAGCUUAUCACCACGAUAUCUCUAAACCUU